Molecule: ribosomal RNA, 396 nt
Filed under: uncultured bacterium
Lineage: Bacteria
Description: partial 16S ribosomal RNA
Rfam family: Bacterial small subunit ribosomal RNA
Source: RNAcentral
AUACGUAGGGAGCGAGCGUUGUCCGGAAUUACUGGGUGUAAAGGGAGCGUAGGCGGGAGUGCAAGUCAGAUGUGAAAUACCGGGGCUCAACCCCGGGGCUGCAUUUGAAACUGUCGUUCUUGAGGGCGGUAGAGGUAAGCGGAAUUCCUAGUGUAGGGGUGAAAUGCGUAGAUAUUCGGAGGAACAUCGGUGGCGAAGGCGGCUUACUGGGCCUUUACUGACGCUGAGGCACGAAAGCGUGGGGAGCAAACAGGAUUAGAUACCCUGGUAGUCCACGCUGUAAACGAUGAUGACUAGGUGUGGGGGGACUGAACCCUUCCGUGCCGCAGUUAACACAAUAAGUCAUCCACCUGGGGAGUACGGCCGCAAGGUUGAAACUCAAAUGAAUUGGCGGGG